This 253-nucleotide ribosomal RNA is filed under the name uncultured bacterium. RNAcentral describes it as "partial 16S ribosomal RNA". It matches the Rfam family "Bacterial small subunit ribosomal RNA", at positions 524 to 776 of the family's 1533-position model. The record is from RNAcentral.
GACGAACCGUACGAACGUUAUUCGGAAUCACUGGGCUUAAAGCGUGUGUAGGCGGAUCGUUAAGUACCUUGUGAAAUCCCACGGCUUAACCGUGGAACUGCUGGGUAUACUGGCGAUCUUGAGGUGCUCAGGGGCGAGCGGAACAGAUGGUGGAGCGGUGAAAUGCGUAGAUAUCAUCUGGAACGCCUGCGGUGAAAACGGCUCGCUGGGAGCAAUCUGACGCUGAGACACGAAAGCCAGGGGAGCGAACGGG